This 402-nucleotide ribosomal RNA is filed under the name Verrucomicrobiota bacterium. RNAcentral describes it as "Verrucomicrobia bacterium partial 16S ribosomal RNA". It matches the Rfam family "Bacterial small subunit ribosomal RNA", at positions 355 to 776 of the family's 1533-position model. Lineage: Bacteria; Pseudomonadati; Verrucomicrobiota. The record is from RNAcentral.
UGGGGAAUUUUGCACAAUGGGGGAAACCUUGAUGCAGCGACGCCGCGUGAUUUAGAAGGCCUUCGGGUUGUAAAAAUCUUUUGUAUGGGAAGAAAAUGACAGUACCAUACGAAUAAGGACCGGCUAAUUACGUGCCAGCAGCCGCGGUAAUACGUAAGGUCCGAGCGUUGUCCGGAAUCAUUGGGCGUAAAGGGUACGUAGGCGGAUAAGCAAGUUAGAAGUGAAAUCCUAUAGCUCAACUAUAGUAAGCUUUUAAAACUGCUCAUCUUGAGGUAUGGAAGGGAAAGUGGAAUUCCUAGUGUAGCGGUGAAAUGCGCAGAUAUUAGGAGGAAUACCGGUGGCGAAGGCGACUUUCUGGCCAUAAACUGACGCUGAGGUACGAAAGCGUGGGUAGCAAACAGG